GGGAGAGGAUGCAGAGUAGGCAGCGAAGCUGCUUCCCCACACCCGGGUUUGACUCUCCCACCAGCCCGCCGCCUGGGAAACGCGCCCUCGGCUGGCAUCGGGGUACCAGAGCCCGGCUCCUUUCUUCCUUUCUUUCUUUUUUAAACGGCUCUAGCGCAAACCAGGCAGUGGGUCAGGGCCCAGAGGCGGGGGAGGGAAGAGGAGAGGGCUGUCUCCAACUCGGGGAGAAGAACGGCCGGCCGCAAGUUUCCCGGUUUGUGCCAGUUUGGGGAUUUGCGAAUCAGACCGGAGCGGAGGGAACGGCGGCGCCUUUUCAGUGGCGGAGAUCUCAGGUGCCCCACGCCAGGGUCUACUAGAGAAUCGGGGCGACCGCAAGCUCAGUCGCGGGACAGGCGAGGCUCGCCAGCUCCACGAAGCGUCACCGGCACGUAUUUUUCUUUUUUUAACAGCCUGUUUCUACCAUUCAGCCUCUGUCUCACAUGCUUUAUAAAAAAAAAAGAAGUAAUAAAACUCCUUUAAAUUA
This 523-nucleotide long non-coding RNA is filed under the name Homo sapiens (human). Its description in RNAcentral is "non-protein coding lnc-GADD45GIP1-2:1". The record is from RNAcentral. Lineage: Eukaryota; Metazoa; Chordata; Mammalia; Primates; Hominidae.